This 450-nucleotide ribosomal RNA is filed under the name uncultured bacterium. RNAcentral describes it as "partial 16S ribosomal RNA". It matches the Rfam family "Bacterial small subunit ribosomal RNA", at positions 354 to 796 of the family's 1533-position model. The record is from RNAcentral.
GUGGGGAAUAUUGGACAAUGGGCGAAAGCCUGAUCCAGCCAUGCCGCGUGUGUGAAGAAGGUCUUCGGAUUGUAAAGCACUUUAAGUUGGGAGGAAGGGCAGUAAGCGAAUACCUUGCUGUUUUGACGUUACCGACAGAAUAAGCACCGGCUAACUCUGUGCCAGCAGCCGCGGUAAUACAGAGGGUGCAAGCGUUAAUCGGAAUUACUGGGCGUAAAGCGCGCGUAGGUGGUUCGUUAAGUUGGAUGUGAAAUCCCCGGGCUCAACCUGGGAACUGCAUCCAAAACUGGCGAGCUAGAGUAGGGCAGAGGGUGGUGGAAUUUCCUGUGUAGCGGUGAAAUGCGUAGAUAUAGGAAGGAACACCAGUGGCGAAGGCGACCACCUGGGCUCAUACUGACACUGAGGUGCGAAAGCGUGGGGAGCAAACAGGAUUAGAAACCCCAGUAGUCC